RNAcentral lists this ribosomal RNA (253 nucleotides) under uncultured Eubacteriales bacterium. RNAcentral's name for it is "uncultured Clostridiales bacterium partial 16S ribosomal RNA". It matches the Rfam family "Bacterial small subunit ribosomal RNA", at positions 524 to 776 of the family's 1533-position model. The record is from RNAcentral. Lineage: Bacteria; Bacillati; Bacillota; Clostridia; Eubacteriales.
UACGUAGGGGGCAAGCGUUAUCCGGAUUUACUGGGUGUAAAGGGGGCGCAGACGGCGAUGCAAGCCAGGAGUGAAAGCCCGGGGCCCAACCCCGGGACUGCUCUUGGAACUGCGUGGCUGGAGUGCAGGAGAGGUAAGUGGAAUUCCUAGUGUAGCGGUGAAAUGCGUAGAGAUUAGGAAGAACACCAGUGGCGAAGGCGACUUACUGGACUGUAACUGACGCUGAGGCAUGAGAGCAUGGGGAGCAAACAGG